RNAcentral lists this ribosomal RNA (889 nucleotides) under uncultured marine group I thaumarchaeote. RNAcentral's name for it is "SSU rRNA". It matches the Rfam family "Archaeal small subunit ribosomal RNA", at positions 12 to 906 of the family's 1478-position model. The record is from RNAcentral. Lineage: Archaea; Thermoproteati; Nitrososphaerota.
UCCCGCCGGACCUGACUGCUAUCGGAUUGAUACUAAGCCAUGCGAGUCUUUGUAGUAAUACAAGGCAUACGGCUCAGUAACACGUAGUCAACCUACCCUAUGGACGAGAAUAAUCUCGGGAAACUGAGCAUAAUUCUUGAUAGAUCAUAAUGCCUGGAAUGGUUUAUGGUUAAAAUGAUUCGUCGCCAUAGGAUGGGACUGCGGCCUAUCAGCUUGUUGGUGAGGUAAUGGCCCACCAAGGCGAUUACAGGUACGGGCUCUGAGAGGAGAAGCCCGGAGAUGGGUACUGAGACACGGACCCAGGCCCUAUGGGGCGCAGCAGGCGAGAAAACUUUGCAAUGUGCGAAAGCACGACAAGGUUAAUCCGAGUGAUUUCUGCUAAAGAAAUCUUUUGCCAGUCGUGAAACCGCUGGUGAAUAAGGGGUGGGCAAGUUCUGGUGUCAGCCGCCGCGGUAAAACCAGCACCUCAAGUGGUCAGGAUGAUUAUUGGGCCUAAAGCAUCCGUAGCCUGCUUUGUAAGUUUUCGGUUAAAUCCAUGUGCUCAACGCAUGGGCUGCCGAAAAUACUGCAUAGCUAGGGAGUGGGAGAGGUAGACGGUACUCAGUAGGUAGGGGUAAAAUCCUUUGAUCUAUUGAUGACCACCUGUGGCGAAGGCGGUCUACCAGAACACGUUCGACGGUGAGGGAUGAAAGCUGGGGGAGCAAACCGGAUUAGAUACCCGGGUAGUCCCAGCUGUAAACGAUGCAGACUCGAUGAUGCAUUGGCAUAAUAGCCAUUGCAGUGUCGCAGGGAAGCCGUUAAGUCUGCCGCCUGGGAAGUACGUACGCAAGUAUGAAACUUAAAGGAAUUGGCGGGGGAGCACCACAAGGGGUGAAGCCUGCGGUUCAAU